AAAAAAACAAACGACGAAAUUUUAUAAAUAAAAUUUUAGGUUAAUUGUCUUAAUUAUUGUGUAUAUACAAAAAAAUGGGUAAUUAGUUUUGUGUAGUAGAUACUGUUUUAAUCGACAUAAUUAAUUAUUUUUAUUAUUGCGUAGUUAGUUUUCAAAUUUUCAUGAUGAUAUAUUGCGUUAAUUUCAAAUUGCGCGGAGCAUUAAAGAAAAAAAAUGACAAAAGAAUUCAUAAAUUAGGUCAACUAAUUACGGUGCUAAAGGCAGCGGAUAUUCAAAAAUUUAUUUUUUUUUUAAAUAAAAAAAAUUAAAUCAUGAUAAAACAAUAGAACAUAUAUGGGGCUGUGAGAAACACACAAUAAAAUAGAUCACGUAUUAUCAAAUAAAAUCAAAGAGAAAUUCGCACAAACCAAGCAAACAGAACAAGCAAGAGAGAGAAUGAGGGAACUAGGGAUAGGAAAACCAUGCAGAGAAAUUAUAGAUUGCACAAGGAAAUUUGAAAAAAAGAAACAAAUCUAGUCAGUACCAAGUCAAAAUUAGAGUAAUUAUAAGUAUAGUACAAUCUUCCCGAGAAAACCAGGGACCAAAUUACACUAAAUAAAGUGAGAAUGAUUGUGAGAGUGCUAAAUUAGGGAUGAAUGAUACCAAUCAAUGUAAAUGACUAAACUAAGAAUAAGAAAAAACUGUAAAAAAAACUGAACCUGAUGAACUUUUAGUAAUUUUUUUUGUAAAUAUUUUUAUCAAUUUAUUCUAAUGACAACUGACUCUUUCAUUGAAACAUUCAAAUUGUUGAAUUAGUAAAUUGAUCAAUUGAAAAACAAAAUCAAAUGGACAAAUCGCGUCUUCUAGACAUUUGACAACUUGUUCUUCUGUCAAACUUUCACAAAUGUCCAAAGGAUUCACAAACUGCUGGGAUAAAUCCACUAGUAUCUUUAAUUCCCGUAGCCAUUUCUCUAGCCCAAAUGUAAACACGGAC
This is a long non-coding RNA of Microplitis mediator, 973 nucleotides long. RefSeq lists it as uncharacterized. NCBI's taxonomy places the organism in Eukaryota, Metazoa, Arthropoda, Insecta, Hymenoptera, Braconidae. The transcript has 5 exons. The record is from RefSeq and is a predicted model, not a curated record.